UUUGCAGAGAACAUUUAAGAGAGAGUUUGGAAGAAGCAGAGGAAUUUUACUAGAAUUUUGAGGUUGAAGAAGAGGAGGAGAACUGAAGCAAAGUGUAUCCAUGGCUGAAUCUUGGUUCAUUCUGCACAUCACUAGUUUUUAAUUCAGUUUGAACUCUUCAAAAGGAAUUAAGAGGGCAGUUGGUUUUCACUCGAAAUAAGGAGGUCUCUAGUUUUUCUUGUAUUUCAGAGUGUACCGGUGGAGUUCAAAACUAUAUUUAGUAUGGUUGGAAAGCUUAUUCAAUUUUCUACAACUUUCAUGAAGAAAUCGUGAACCAAAAACGACUAAAAAUCAAUUAAAUUCUGGAAGUUGUUCUGUUUCGAGGGUUAUCUAAGUUUAUUCACAGGGAAUCAGAUUUACAUGUCUUCAGGCCGAGAAGAAUUAAACCGAGCUUAUAGACCGAGGAUCUAGCCCAAGACUGUGAGUGACAAAACCAACUUUGAAAGAUUUUCCAUAACUGUUAUUAUGAUUGAAUGCGAUAAAUGUUUAUUUACGAAGCCAUGAAAGGUAUUUGAAUUUCAUGACUAUUUUCAGGUAUACAUUUGGAGACUAGAUUUCUUAAAGAAAUUUAUGCUAGCA
Cucumis melo (muskmelon) is the source of this 618-nucleotide long non-coding RNA. RefSeq lists it as uncharacterized. The record is from RefSeq and is a predicted model, not a curated record. Lineage: Eukaryota; Viridiplantae; Streptophyta; Magnoliopsida; Cucurbitales; Cucurbitaceae. The transcript is spliced from 3 exons.